UUCGGAAUUACUGGGCGUAAAGCGCGCGCAGGCGGUCUUCCAAGUCAGUGGUGAAAGCCCGGAGCUCAACUCCGGAACUGCCAUUGAAACUGUUAGACUUGAGGACGAGAGAGGUGAGUGGAAUUCCCAGUGUAGAGGUGAAAUUCGUAGAUAUUGGGAAGAACACCGGUGGCGAAGGCGGCUCACUGGCUCGUAUCUGACGCUCAGGCGCGACAGCGUGGGGAUCAAACAGG
RNAcentral lists this ribosomal RNA (233 nucleotides) under uncultured bacterium. RNAcentral describes it as "partial 16S ribosomal RNA". It matches the Rfam family "Bacterial small subunit ribosomal RNA", at positions 544 to 776 of the family's 1533-position model. The record is from RNAcentral.